RNAcentral lists this long non-coding RNA (2366 nucleotides) under Ricinus communis (castor bean). Its description in RNAcentral is "long non-coding RNA (RCOM_LNC002738)". The record is from RNAcentral. Lineage: Eukaryota; Viridiplantae; Streptophyta; Magnoliopsida; Malpighiales; Euphorbiaceae.
UUUUCUCAAAAUUCUUUUAUAAAAACAUCCCUUACAAUUUCUAUCAUAAUUUUCCAAUAUAUAAUUUUAUUUAUAUAAAUAUGCAUUUGGGAAAAUUUUGAAUAACCAAAAUAUAAUCAUUUCAAAUUAAACCCAAUAAAAAUAAAGCUAAAAUUAACUUAAAUAAAAACUCAUUAUUAAAUAUAUAAAAAUUCCGGGUGUUACAUUCUCCCCCCCUUAAAAAAAAAAUUCGACCUCGAAUUUUAAAAGAAAAGGGGCUACACUCUAAGACUGAAACUAAUUAGGAACCUCUCAUCUCUAACUCGGCUUCUCGGGAACUUUUCCCUCGGUAGAAACUAACUAAACCACAAGACUCAUCGACAAAACCCUUAAAUAAAACUGGCGAACCUGAAAAUCCGCUAUCCUCACCUACUACUCCUCGAAAACCAAAUCUUCACUUAAAUUCACACACUGAGGAUCCAACACGAGCAAAGAUCGAAAAUAUACUUCCUCAACUCAGACCUACGAACAACUGGAUUUGACCUCAGAGAACAUUACUAAUACUUGGCGGCAAGUCCAACUUACAUGCCACCUCACCAACCUGCCGACAAAACCAAGGGUCUCCAUAUCCUUAUUUUCUUACCGAGUCACAUCACUUAUGACAUAAAAGUCACCUUAUGAAAACAUACUCUCUAACACCAAUCUCCACGUGCCCCCACUCGGGUUCGCACAACCCUUCUGCUUCUAAAAAGCUGUCUUCAGCUGCUCGCGAGAAAAAGAACCUCCUUUUAUAGACUUGGACCAACUCUAGUCUUGCCUACAAUCUACUCGCCAACUUCCUUCCAAAUCACAUGCCCUUAUACACGCAGAAAAUUCUUAACAUCUACAUCACAUCAUCAACGACAUAACAUCCAUCUGAUCGCAUCAACCGAUAUAAACCAUGCCAUCCUGACACAAGAUUCCUCCUUGACUGAAAUCCAAAAGCCUCCCUUAUUAUCUAACAUGGGGCCUACAGCUCCACAGACUUACUCUCUCAGCAACUCAACUCGUCAUCCAGAGAAUUCUCAAGCUAACACUAUUUACUUUGAAAAAUUUACUUAUUAUUUACUUUAUAAUCAUCACUGAUAAAAGCUUUAUUAUCUUGGAAAAAUACUUUUAUAAAAUCGUAAAAUCUCUAGUCAUUUUUCUUUAUAUAAAAUUCUACAAUAUCGCGCGCCAGGGUGAUGAUGCCCCCUAUCACCAAGGGUUGCAAUGCACAAUGUAUGAUGCAUGUCCUAAAAUGAAUUUAUGCAUGCCUAACAGUGAAAUGCCAUAAUGCAUUCUUACGGAACUGGGCGCAAUAUUGUAUUUUAAAACACUUGUUCUACUUAGAAAAAUAAAUAAUGUUCGCUUAAGUUUCUCUGGAUUUUGAGCGUCCGAAAACACUCCUGCCACCUUUCUUAAGCUUCUUACAAUCACCAAAACUCAACCAUAGAGCUCUGAAAUCUACUCGACUUCCCAGGCACUACUUUCGGCGCUACUCAAUAAGACGAUGCCUGAUGCGAUGACGAGGCAGCUCAUGACACGACUGCAACCACGCUCUACACUAAAACUGACUGCGGUGCCCACUAUCGAAACAACAAUCAAAGCUUCUAAAGGCGGACUGCACUAAUCACUUGAAGAAACAGCACGAGUCUAUCGCGCUUCGGAUCUUCCCAUCGCUACAAGGCACAUUCUCAGCACAGCACCAAGGACAAGCUUACAAGAAAGGAAAGACUGACUCACUAACAGUGAAGGCUGAAACACUGGAGUCAAUGAAAACAACAAGACAAACUUGAUCCUAACUCCGCAGUACCAAGAAAAAUUUUAACUUAGGUCGAAGGAAAUCUAAACCUAAGCUCUGAUACCAACUUUGUCACGACCCCACCCGUGGGCCCGUGACCGGCACUAGGGAAUGGGUAGGCUUAAGGCCACCGAAACCCGUAGUAAGCCUGACACUCACUGAUUUAAACAAAUCUCAACUCAAAUUUAUAUUAUUAAAACCAUAAAUUAUCUUAAUAGUUACACUUUACAAAAUUACUUCGGUCUACCAGAAAAUACUAGGCGAGACCCGAAGCUCAGAAAAUUUACAACUGAUACAUAUACUAAUUACUACUGCGGAGAAUCUAAGAUUUACCAUUUUACAUACCAAAUCAAUACUUCACCCGAUGAUAAAGGAGUCGGGUUACUGAAUAAGAGUCGCAGGAGAACUAACAGUCACAAAGCUGAAAAAAAAUAAAUGGAGACUGUCAGUCUCGAGAGUGAGUUAAAAUCAUACAUCUAAAACAGUUUCAAAUAUCUCAAUGUCACAUUCAUUUAAUUUUAAAAUAAUUAAUAAAUCACGCGAACCAUACGUGUCAUGUUAAAAC